This 971-nucleotide small RNA is filed under the name Pongo abelii (Sumatran orangutan). RNAcentral describes it as "processed transcript". The record is from RNAcentral. Lineage: Eukaryota; Metazoa; Chordata; Mammalia; Primates; Hominidae.
AGGUGUCCGGCUUUGCUGGCCCAGCAAGCCUGAUAAGCAUGAAGCUCUUAUCUUUGGUGGCUGUGGUCGGGUGUUUGCUGGUGCUCCCAGCUGAAGCCAACAAGAGUUCUGAAGACAUCCGGUGCAAAUGCAUCUGUCCACCUUAUAGAAACAUCAGUGGGCACAUUUACAACCAGAAUGUAUCCCAGAAGGACUGCAACUGCCUGCACGUGGUGGAGCCCAUGCCAGUGCCUGGCCAUGACGUGGAGGCCUACUGCCUGCUGUGCGAGUGCAGGUACGAGGAGCGCAGCACCACCACCAUCAAGUGGGCCUCAUCCUCCAGGGACCAGAUGCCUGAGACCUGAAAUUCAGAGCCAGAUGUCACCGCUGCUCCCUGUUUGGCUGGGAGGGAACUUCCUGGCAUGGGGACCUCAUCAGAUACAAUUUCCUAAUUCCUCCCAUUUCCCCCAGUUCUCCUACCUAGGAGGCACCCCUCAACUUCAGCCUAUUGAAGACCCAGCCUCUGUUCUCCUUCCACAUUCCUGGGGUACAGAUCAUCAUUGUCAUCUACCUGUCUGUGGUGGGUGCCCUGUUGCUCUACAUGGCCUUCCUGAUGCUGGUGGACCCUCUGAUCCGAAAGCCGGAUGCAUACACUGAGCAACUGCACAAUGAGGAGGAGAAUGAGGAUGCUCGCUCUAUGGCAGCAGCUGCUGCAUCCCUCGGGGGACCCCGAGCAAACACAGUUCUGGAGCGCGUGGAAGGUGCCCAGCAGCGGUGGAAGCUGCAGGUGCAGGAGCAGCGGAAGACAGUCUUCGAUCGGCACAAGAUGCUCAGCUAGAUGGGCUGGUGUGGUUGGGUCAAGGCCCCAACACCAUGGCUGCCAGCUUCCAGGCUGGACAAAGCAGGGGGCUACUUCUUCCUUCCCUCGGUUCCAGUCUUCCCUUUAAAAGCCUGUGGCAUUUUUCCUCCUUCUCCCUCACUUUAGAAAUGUU